Long non-coding RNA from Pan troglodytes (chimpanzee), 3817 nucleotides. RefSeq lists it as uncharacterized. NCBI's taxonomy places the organism in Eukaryota, Metazoa, Chordata, Mammalia, Primates, Hominidae. The transcript is spliced from 4 exons. The record is from RefSeq and is a predicted model, not a curated record.
AAUGCGCGUUGUGCGUGUGUGCAAGUGUAUGUCCAUGUGUGCAUGUGUGUGUGCGCGCGCAGGAAGUGCGUGAAAUCACAUCCAUUUCAGCUGCCCAGGGCUGGGCGGAGAGAGGGGAGUGGGAGCAGGAGGUGCCGGCCUGGCGUGCGCGGAGGCAGCUCUCUGGGUGUCCGAGCUGCAAAAGUGCUUUAACUGGGGGGCUGCAGCCCCGGGCGCAGCUCCACUGCGGCCCACAAAUUACGAGCGAGUGGUUAGCGAGGAGGCGGGAGUUGCUGAAAGCCGGGCCAGAACCUGCGCGUGCGGAGCGGCACGAGUAAUGGCUCCGCAAGGAGUCGUGAUUCCUUUCGAGUGUAAUCAUCUUUCCCCACACGCCGCAGCGCCGGCCAAAUCUCGUUUACAUCCAAGGAGUUGCGGCUAGCCGGGCCAGAAACGUGGGCGACACGCCCCUGCGUCCUUGCCCCGGCCCCGAUUUCCGCUCCAAGCUGGAAGUCCUUCCAGCAUAGGAAACGCUCAACUUCUGGGGCUAUCCCAGCUCAGGAAAUGGAGGAGGGCGGGGAGGCGAGGGGUCAUUGAUGAACCGGCCUGGGUUCCCCCAGGAGCAGGCGAGUGUGAACAACUGUGAGGUGAGGAAAGGCCGUGGGGAAAAACGCUCCUCCAGAGGGCUUCCAGAAGAAACAGUGGCUCCUGGGGAUCCUUGAGGAUCAAGCACAUGGUCUCAGGAUUAAAGACAGCACAAAAACCUGCAACUCCGGAGGGGAAAAUAAAAAUGCAACAAGUCAUCCAAGAUGUGUUCAUAAAGCAACUUCGACAUUUAUAUAUGAAAGUCAAGUGAGUCCCGAGUCUUCAAAAUCGAGUGUGUAUUUUGCACUUCCAGCACAUCUCCAUUUGUGCUGGCCACGUUUCAAUGCUCAGAAGCCACAUGUCAUAGUGGCCGUGGCACUGGGCAACGCAGACCUGACACGUCGGGUGCAUUCAGCAGGUGGAUUAGCAAGAGGCUGCCUGGCUGACCCCAGCUCUCAGAAGGGCUCUCAGGGUGACCUGCUACGACUAUUGGGAGGUAAGUGCUUCCUGGAGGAAGGAGAAAAAGGAAAUUAAGGUAAAAGCGGUCACCCCAAAAAGAGCUUUUAUGGGGGCUUUUAUAUCCUGGGAGCAAUACAGGUUGUUUAAAAUGAGGUUUGAGAGGGACUGCAUUCUACAUGUGUUAACACUACAGGACAGCCUUGGUGAGCCAUUCUCACUGUGGAAUGAACUUGUCCCCCAAGAUCUGACAAGCUGGAAAUGACUGAAUAAUGGAAUUAAGGCCUUUAUCAACAGUUACAUUAGACCUUCGAAGAGACUAAUUACCAUAGUGUGUUCUGGAUCAUGUUUGAUCCAGAGGGGGACUCUGCCCAGGUCAUAGAGGAAGUUGGCACAGAUUACAAUCUUUGCAGGCCCCCAUUCUAAAAAAUGGUGUUCCCAAAGUUGCCGCAUUCAAUCGAUAUUUCGUGCCAUGCUGCUCAGUGCAGUGGACCAGUGGCUAAUAAACUUGUCCUUAUCCAUAAGCCACCGUAUUAGGUGACUCUGUCUGGGCCAGGAACCAAGGCGUGCUAUGAUUUCAGAGACUGGAUUCCUAUCACCUGGGGAAGAGACACGCUCUGGUGACGUAAGAAAGCGGAGAAAUCAACCAUCACCAAAACCUGCAGACUCUGAAAUUAAAGGAGAAAAUAUGCGUGCAGUUGGUUCAAUUGGCACCCAUUAAAGCUAAUAACUAAUCAUCCUCGCAAGUUUCUAGCUCAGAAUGAUCAAAUCUGCAAAGAAAACAACAUCCGUCCACUUUUACACUCCAGUGGAAGAGGUGGUCCCUCGCGGCAGGGCGGCACAGUCUCGCCAUCUGGAGAAUAAAUCGAGUGUGAAGUACAGUAUAGUUUGGGACCAAGCUCCGUGGCGGCAGCUCAGCAGUCAGUUCAUUAGUUCCAAACUUCCAGGGAUUAGAGCGGCAUCAAUUCUACUGUCGGAUAGGAUGAGACAGACAGGAUACGAGAUUCAAGGGGGAUUGUGACAACCAAGAGGAGCCCCUUGGGCUUAUUUAUAAAACUACAAAGUAUAAACAUACCCAAAUAAGUGCCUUAAAUAAUAGCAUUAUCACAGUUUCAUAACAUCUGAAUUAUCACCUUUCCCUUCGCCUCCCAGCCCCCGACUCAAACCUUGAAUGUUAAUGUAUAGUUGUUUUCAGAGGAAAUGGCAGAGACAGCCCUGGGUGCAACAGGAACAACGAGAAAGCUAUGUGCGACCCAAGAUUUGGUAAUUAAGAAACAGGAAAGACUUUCUAGACUCCAGGGAGAUCCACAACAUUUGUGAUGAAAGAAAAGUACAAUGAAUAUUUUCAUCCUGCAAAAGGCAAUUGCCAUGCCACGUAUUCAAAAACGACAGUAAAUUCUAUCCCUUCUGAAUGUGUCCAUCUCAUCUGAUUUUCAUUUUAUCUAAUGUGUAAAAUGAUGUCAUGUCACGGGCAUGAAGUGGUCCAAAUUUUUAGCAGAAGGCCCCAGGAGCAUCUCUAUGAAAAUCUUAUUGAAAAUGUCAAGAUCAAGUUUGGUUUAAAAUAAAAAACGGAAUGAAUUUAUUCUAUUUAAGGACUGCCUUUUUCAUAUAACUUUUUAUCAAUUUGUAUUUAAAAACAGCAUUGCUUAGGACAUAGACCAUCCUCACCAGUCAAUUAUAUUGGAUUUUUCUCAUAAAUGUGUAAAAAUUUACUGUAAUAAUGAUCAGACUGUUGUAGUGACUGCAUUGAAAAAAAAAAAACCAAAUGAAUUCUCAGAUUAUUACAACCUGGUAGUAUGUUUCAACAAGCAAGGUGAGGGCUGAGUUUUCUAUCCUGUUAUUUUUUCCACAUGAAAAAGAAAACUUAGUUUGCCUGUUUUUGAAAAAAAGAAAACCUAUAACAAUAUUGAGCAUACUGUAUGUUAACUGGCUUAAAAUUGUAUGUGCUGAUUCAUCUUACAAAGCGUUACAUGCCAGGCACCCUGUUUACUCUGAAAAUGUAGAUUUUGGCAGAGCAAAGUUUUUGAUAUGUUAAUCAUGAAACAUACAUUAAAACACAGGUUUAUAGUGAAAUGCUAAAUUGGCUUUCAUUCAAAAGACUAAGAAGGCUGAGGAUGUGUAUAGAUGGGUAGCUUAUAAUAUAUAAUUGGUAUUUCUGCCCUUCAGAGAUAUAAUUGAAAAAGAGAAAACCUUACCAAAAAAACUCCAACACUAAAAUACAAUAAACCUAUGAAAAGAAUUUGUUUUGAAGGUCUCCAACCAAUUAAAAAUAUUUUUUAAAGAUGUUAGAACAAUGGCUUUGAGUCAUGCAAACCUAUACAUUUGUCAGAAUUCAUAGAACAUAUACUUUAAAUUUGUGCAUUUCAUUGUAUAUAAAUUUCACCUCAAAAACACAAAGAGAACUGCAAACAACUAUUGAACUCUAGUCAUUCAUAUGCAUGCAUGAGUACCUAAGGGGAAGUGUACUGCUGUCUGCAAUUUACUUUGAAAUGGAUAUGUUAAUACAAAGCAAAUCGAUGGAUGGAGAGAGGGACAAAUGGAUGGUCAGAUACCGAUUAAGUCAGGCAGAGUAAACAUUAAUGGGAGAAUAUAGGAGGUGUGUAUAGUAUAUUGGUUUCUACUGUACAAUCUUCCAACUUUUCUGAUGCUUGAAAUUUUUUUAAUAAAGUGUAGGGGGGAAAAGCACCCUAAAACACUGACAAUUUUUGGAGCUGAUUGAUGAGUAUAUGGGAGUUCUUUAUACUACUCUCUUUACAUUUGUAUAUAUUUGAAUAUUUCCACAAUAAAAAGUUAAAAACUA